RNAcentral lists this ribosomal RNA (445 nucleotides) under uncultured bacterium. RNAcentral describes it as "bacterial SSU rRNA". It matches the Rfam family "Bacterial small subunit ribosomal RNA", at positions 8 to 461 of the family's 1533-position model. The record is from RNAcentral.
AGAGUUUGAUGGUGGCUCAGAACGAACGCUGGCGGCGUGGAUAAGACAUGCAAGUCGAACGGGAGAAUUGCUAGCUUGCUAAUAAUUCUCUAGUGGCGCACGGGUGAGUAACACGUGAGUAACCUGCCUCUUAGUGGGGGAUAGCCCUGGGAAACCGGGAUUAAUACCGCAUACGAUUGAAAGAUCAAAGCAGCAAUGCGCUAGGAGAUGGGCUCGCGGCCUAUUAGUUAGUUGGUGAGGUAACGGCUCACCAAGGCGAUGACGGGUAGCCGGUCUGAGAGGAUGUCCGGCCACACUGGAACUGAGACACGGUCCAGACACCUACGGGUGGCAGCAGUCGAGAAUCAUUCACAAUGGGGGCAACCCUGAUGGUGCGACGCCGCGUGGGGGAAUGAAGGUCUUCGGAUUGUAAACCCCUGUCAUGUGGGAGCAAAUAAAAAGAUAG